This is a long non-coding RNA of Chenopodium quinoa (quinoa), 2040 nucleotides long. RefSeq lists it as uncharacterized. The transcript is spliced from 4 exons. NCBI's taxonomy places the organism in Eukaryota, Viridiplantae, Streptophyta, Magnoliopsida, Caryophyllales, Amaranthaceae. The record is from RefSeq and is a predicted model, not a curated record.
AAGAAAACAGAGGGAAUAAGUUUUAUUGAAACAGUUAGAAUUAGAACUACACUACUUACACAAAAACAUUGACGGGGCUGUCUCGUCGCCGACGAACAUCGCCGGCCAAUUUUGGGUGAUGCAAGGCAGCUUCCGACGAUCUUCCAACAUUGGUUCAAGUUGUGAAUUUAAUGCUCGUAAUUGGUCUAGUGAAACGACAUUUUACGAUUCUGGGUAUUGACAUUGUGACUUAUUGGUUAUUGGAUUAAUCUGAUAUUGUUUGUGUAAUCAUCAUUAUGGUUGGUUUAUGAAGUUCUUGAUCGAGUUUAGUGAUGAUGGAGAUAUUCAUGUAUGUUAUACAGAACCGAGGAUUAUUGGCUGUUGUUUGUGUCGUUCGAAUGCCAUUGAAUUUUUACCACAAUAUGGCAUUACUGGGUUUAGUUUCCUUGAUUAAUAUGUUGGCAUGGUAUCAGCAGAAUUAUGACGUGGUUAAGAAUUGACGGGUUGAGGUGCUUUACUAUUGGAAAGUAUUGAUUUUGGUGAAUGCAGGGGUUAAAGGGGAUAUAUGAAGUAGAGCAGCCACUGGUGGUUAGACUGGUGUGAUUUUCUCUUUUUGGUUUACUUUAUUUCCUCCGUAAAGUGAGAUCUUUGUGAUGGAGAAGAUACUCAAAUCCUAUAAUCAAACUCAGAAUUUUUAAAUUAAAAUGAAGGAUUUUCUCUCCACUGCUGUUUGGUUUGAACGAAGUUCUGCAGCAGCUAUCCUGUUUCAAGAUUCUCGUUUUAAAAUCCUUUCGAUAUUGUUGUUUUUAUAAACGUUUUGUUAAGGUUGACAAUUGUGAUGAGUUCCCUGGACAUGUUGAUUCCCAAGAUCUUCAGAUGGACUGAUGGAAUAUGUUAUUUGCCUGCUAGUUCAUCCUGGGCCUUUGAGGACCCAAGAGUAUAUAUCAUCAUUCAAACAUGCUCUAUCAACAAACCUACUGGAAGUAGUAACUCUAUUGUAGUGCUAGACUAUUUCUCUGAGAGGACGCGUUGACAUCAGUACAAUGCUUACAAGAUGACCAGCAGCCACGCCUUUUGAUGGUAUUGGGAGACUUUAAAGUUUCGAUUUCAAAUGGUUGGUAACAACUUUGUUUAAGACUACUGAGCUGGCUUGGUGAAUGUGGGCUGUCAAUAGCUGCUUUAUUGGUGGCUCCCUGAUAAGUUAAUGAAAUUUUCAUGUUGAGAAGCAAUGGUAUCCUGUAGGUGCUUGGUCUUGGUUGAGUUUAAAACUGAAUAAGCGACAAGGGUAUACACCAGUGCUUGUAAUUUUGAGAAAGUUUAGCAUCAAUGACAAGAAGAAUUGACCUUGCAAUCCUCUCAUGAUUGUCAUGCUUACCUGCGUCAUUGGUGCAGAUAUUAGGUUCUUGGCUAAAAUUACAACAUAUUCAAUGUGCCAGAGUGCCAGACAGAGCUUAAUUUUUUAAUUCCCGUGCUUGUAAAAGGUAAUAUUUGCUAGGUUUGGGAUGUCAUGCAUAGUCGCGGUAAGAUCAAAAACCUUGAAUAUGUCCAUGUUACCACUUUUGCAGGUAAUGUUGCUAGGUUUGGGGCUGUCGUACACAGCUGCGCUAAGAUCAAUUACCUUUACAAUACGACGGCAGUCGGUUGAUGCCUGUUGCCAUAUUAAUAAUGCUUAUUAGUUAUUACAAAUUGAUAUCUGGAGCAUAUGCUAAUUGACCUUUUGUAAUGUUUGGUACAUUAUGUUUCAAAUUUGUUAGGUUUAUCAUUAUGUGGAAGACUAAGGAGGAAGAUGGUGAAAGGCUGAAAGCAAACAGAGACAGUUGGAAAGGAAGAGAGAGAAAGAAAUAAAAAUGUGCACCAACUUACUUCUUUUUCCAUUAGAUUAACAUAAAUCAUAUAUGGCGGUUGUUACACUGAUCAUAUUUUUGUAUUCUUUGAUAAUUACUAUAGUUUUUGUAUUUAAUCAGAUAUUGAUGAUUUAAUGUGAUGGAGCUUUCGUUAGUUUAUGUAAUGUACUACUGAGUUCUGUGUACAAUAAAAUAUUGAAGGCGUGGGUCAUACUCA